AGUGAACGCUGGCGGUAGGCCUAACGCAUGCAAGUCGAACGGCAGCACAGUAAGAGCUUGCUCUUACGGGUGGCGAGUGGCGGACGGGUGAGGAAUACAUCGGAAUCUACUUUUUCGUGGGGGAUAACGUAGGGAAACUUACGCUAAUACCGCAUACGACCUACGGGUGAAAGCAGGGGAUCUUCGGACCUUGCGCGAUUGAAUGAGCCGAUGUCGGAUUAGCUAGUUGGCGGGGUAAAGGCCCACCAAGGCGACGAUCCGUAGCUGGUCUGAGAGGAUGAUCAGCCACACUGGAACUGAGACACGGUCCAGACUCCUACGGGAGGCAGCAGUGGGGAAUAUUGGACAAUGGGAGCAAGCCUGAUCCAGCCAUACCGCGUGGGUGAAGAAGGCCUUCGGGUUGUAAAGCCCUUUUGUUGGGAAAGAAAAGCAGCAGGUUAAUACCCCGCUGUUCUGACGGUACCCAAAGAAUAAGCACCGGCUAACUUCGUG
RNAcentral lists this ribosomal RNA (492 nucleotides) under uncultured bacterium. RNAcentral describes it as "partial 16S ribosomal RNA". It matches the Rfam family "Bacterial small subunit ribosomal RNA", at positions 29 to 507 of the family's 1533-position model. The record is from RNAcentral.